UACAGAGGGGGCAAGCGUUGUUCGGAAUUACUGGGCGUAAAGGGCGCGUAGGCGGCCCGCUAAGUCGAACGUGAAAUCCCCGAGCUCAACUCGGGAACUGCGUCUGAUACUGGAUGGCUUGAAUCCGGGAGAGGGAUGCGGAAUUCCAGGUGUAGCGGUGAAAUGCGUAGAUAUCUGGAGGAACACCGGUGGCGAAGGCGGCAUCCUGGACCGGCAUUGACGCUGAGGAGCGAAAGCCAGGGGAGCAAACGGG
RNAcentral lists this ribosomal RNA (253 nucleotides) under uncultured bacterium. RNAcentral's name for it is "partial 16S ribosomal RNA". It matches the Rfam family "Bacterial small subunit ribosomal RNA", at positions 524 to 776 of the family's 1533-position model. The record is from RNAcentral.